Molecule: unclassified non-coding RNA, 520 nt
Filed under: uncultured Glomus
Lineage: Eukaryota; Fungi; Glomeromycota; Glomeromycetes; Glomerales; Glomeraceae
Description: SSU rRNA
Rfam family: Eukaryotic small subunit ribosomal RNA
Source: RNAcentral
AGCAGCCGCGGUAAUUCCAGCUCCAAUAGCGUAUAUUAAAGUUGCUGCAGUUAAAAGCUCGUAGUUGAAUUUCGGGACUAAUAUGUCGGUCGUGCCUCGGUACGUACUGGUUUAUUGGUUUCUCCUUUCUGAAGAACCAUGAUGUCAUUUAUUUGGUGUCGUGGGGAAUCAGGACUGUUACUUUGAAAAAUUAGAGUGUUUAAAGCAGGCUCACGCUUGAAUACAUUAGCAUGGAAUAAUGAAAUAGGACGUUUGAUUCUAUUUUGUUGGUUUCUAGGAUCGACGUAAUGAUUAAUAGGGAUAGUUGGGGGCAUUAGUAUUCAAUUGUCAGAGGUGAAAUUCUUGGAUUUAUUGAAGACUAACUACUGCGAAAGCAUUUGCCAAGGAUGUUUUCAUUAAUCAAGAACGAAAGUUAGGGAUCGAAGACGAUCAGAUACCGUCGUAGUCUUAACCAUAAACUAUGCCGACUAGGGAUCGGAUGAUGUUAAUUUUUAAUGACUCAUUCGGCGCCUUACGGGAA